AUUUCUACAGAUAAGGGAGCAUAUUAAGUGUAUUGCUGUAUGAUAAAUGUUUUCAAGAUUAGAGCCUGGUCUGUUUCUGUCAUCCAGCCACGAAGAAGAUGAGAUUAUGGAAAAUGAUCAGUAUCACUCCUCUAAGAGCACUGCAGAAAGAUAAGUGCCUCCUAUAUUUUCUAGGUGUUUGUCAGUUCCUCAUACAAAGAAAUUUGUUCCAUCUCCCAGGAGAGUCACAGCUAAUCUAGGAUCUGCUAAUUCAUGUGUUUAUUCAUAAGGGGCCCAUAUCACGUACAUCCCCCAACGAAGCUGCUACUUGGCAAGGCAAUUAAUUGAAUACCUGACUUGGAGCAGUGAAUAGCAGAUUAGCUGACGAGGGUUUAAAUGCAUGUGUUUCAGCAUCUCCCUGAGUUAAAGCCUGAACAUGGAGUCCUGGGCUGGAGUUCAUUUUGUCCAAAAGCUGUAUGCCGAUCCUGCUGUGAUGAUGCUUUCAUCAACAGCUCUUCCCCACCGGAAAAAUCAGGCAGUUGAUGAAAAAAUCAAGGACUCGCAUCUAUGGUAGAUGGGUUUUUCCGUGAAGCUGAAUUAGGAUUAUGAAAGCCUCUGACAAAUGACAAAAGAAUAACUACUAACCACAAUCAGAACUAACUAGAAAUUGCACCUCUUUGACUUAGGUUUUCUACAACUAUCCUUCCAUGUAGAUUUAGUCUUUGUGUCAUUGUGUGUUUAAUAGAAAACAAUCUGCAAAUGAUUAAUUUUUUUUUUUUUUUUGCCAGAACUGUAUCUAUCUGAAAAGAAGGUUUACUCCAAAUCAAAACAUUUUGACAAAGAUUUCUUAACGUGCAAUUUCAGUAAGUAAAAAAUACUCAAAACCUACAUUUGAAAGAAGAAACCAAGAAAGCCUUUUCUGCAAGUCCCUGGCAAUCCUUAAACUACUUCAUGAAUUCUACAGGGAAACUGAAGGUCCAAUUUGUACGGUGCUGCAUGACACUAGCACGCACUUGCCAGGGAUCGGAACCGGUUUUAAAGUAAGCCAUCCAGAGGUCAGAAGCAGUCAGUGGGACAGCCUCUGGUGGUGCCUCUUGGUGCUGUUCUCCAGCAAGCUCCAGCAAACUGCUUUCCUGCCGACAUCAGCCUUUAGCAGGGAAACGUGCUUGCUGAUACUUGGCUCACUGCCUGGCAAAGCCACUUUUAGUCACUGAGGCUGCCUCUGCCAACUCCCGUGAGCUGACACUUACGUGGCGGUGUUCCCUUUGAGGAUGCACUGUGAAAAGCUGGCUGCAAAGUCAUUAAUGCUUCUAACUGCUGCUCCAGAUUUCUCAUGUCUCUGUAGGUCUGGCGUGACACCUAUACUGCUGGGGUGUCCACAUUAAAUACUCAGCUACUGCAGCAUUGUUGUCUUCUAUUGUGAAAGAACAUUUACCAAGGGAGUUUCAAAAUCUAUACGCUGUCUUGAUCAGGAGCAGUGUCUUCACACUGGUGCUUGUGUAUGCCUAUCACGAUUUUUGUAGUGGAAUAACUCACAAAACAAGACUUGACUAGCGCUAAACCACAAUGGGUGCAGCAGGUAUUAUUUAACAGUAAAGGGACUUCUGUUGCUGCAUCAGUGCAUGACGCAUGACACAGGGGUGCAUAGAAGAUCACGUCUUUUUCAAGAUACUGAGGAACCAAGGGCAACAGUCUGAAACUCAUGGGUUGAGAUGAACUUACCAGCUGCCUGGCACCCUGACUGGUGAUGGGGGGUGUUAAGAGAGGAGCACUCCCCAGCUGUUGGUGAAAUGCUUAUGUGUGAAAUCAUUAGCAUAUAAAUAAACGCUCGUUUAGCUGUUUUGUAGCA
RNAcentral lists this long non-coding RNA (1828 nucleotides) under Anser brachyrhynchus (Pink-footed goose). RNAcentral describes it as "lncRNA (ENSABRG00000016261.1)". Lineage: Eukaryota; Metazoa; Chordata; Aves; Anseriformes; Anatidae. The record is from RNAcentral.